Molecule: long non-coding RNA, 2357 nt
Filed under: Lactuca sativa (garden lettuce)
Lineage: Eukaryota; Viridiplantae; Streptophyta; Magnoliopsida; Asterales; Asteraceae
Description: long non-coding RNA (LSAT_LNC004339)
Source: RNAcentral
CUCACUCUAACCCUACACAAAUCACUAAAAAACCUAACUCUCACUCACAUAUUCAAGCUAUCUAUAUUACACACACUACUGGAAAAUAGGCUAUUAAAUACACCCAUAUCUAAUACGGUUGUAAAUAAAAACCGUAUUAUAAAGGGAUAAAUAAAUAUAAUACGCACAAUUACAACAUCUAAUACGGUUAAUGAGAUGUACUAGAAACAAGAUCAAAUAACUAAAUAAAAUACACCCCCAUUUUGAUUAGGUACGGCUAAUACCUAAAUUGAAUACGCUUCCUCGUCAUAUACUUAGCUUCCUCCUCACACACUUGUCUCCUCCCAACCGAACACCUUAACACCACCCUUUCUCCAUCUCUACACCACUAAUCGGUCCUUCAUCUCCAUCUCUCCUGUCGCAACACCGUCAUCACCGGCCAACCUCGCCUCGCCUCGCACCUCCAAUAAUUCAACCAACCUGAAAAUCCCACCACCGGACCAUCAUCAUCAUACAAAUUAACCACACUUGCGGUUCAAAUUUAAAGGGUAAGAGCUUUGAUUUAUGUUUUUGCAAUAGACAAACACAGGUAGCGGUUCAAAUUUAAAGGUAGGAGCUUUGAUUUUUGUUUUUGCAACAGAAAAACAAGGACAGAAAUACAAAGGAACUACAACUGUUCAUGAAGGAUAAGGAAGUGUUUUGGCUGUGAUCAAGAUGCAAAAUCAAAUGGUAGGAUUUCUAUUUUGAAAACUUAUUGUUUAAUUUUAACCAGAUGACCUUGGAAUCUUAAAAUUCAAACACCCUCUUGUUAAAUACUACUUGGCAGUCCUUAACGGUUCUUGAGUACUAAGUUCAUACCAAACAAUUUCAAUAUAUCAACUUCUUACUCACAGAGACCACAUUCCCUAUUUCAUCAAGUCUGUCAAAAUAUCAAAUUAAGUUCCAUAAUACACACAUAUAUAGUGCAAACAUAAUACGUAUACCUGCUUAAUAAUCUUGAAAUUUUGGCUAAAAUCUUUCAAGAAAUGAUAAAAUUGGUGGUUAAUUGUUGUUUUCUUUUGUUUACCGUAAGCAUUUGUAAGCAUUUGAGUUUGCAUCAACUAAAAGGAUAAAAAUUCCCUAUGUACCUCAUAAACAAUGGUUAUUUUUUCAUUUCUAUCAUAUUCUUCUAAUAAUGGUAUCAAUUCCAAUUUAAUCAAUUGUUUAAUAGAAUUUUUUUGAUUUGUAUUUAGUUAAAUCUUUUAUCCGGACCAAAUUAUCCUUGAAACGGGCUUAUUAAUGAUCAACAUUUUUGGUAAACAUGAUAUAUUUGCCUGAUUCAGGUCACAAUCUUGUUGAAUUAGAGUUGAAGAACACAUGGCUUUAUGUUGAAAAUCUGAAUCAGAUGUUAAUGGUAACAAGUUUAACACUCAAGUCCAUAUGAUUAGAUGAUAAGGAAUUAAUCCAGUUAAGUAAGUCAUUCCGUAUUCUUCAAGUUCUUAACUUGAUAGAUGUUAGAGGACUUAAACUACCAACAAUCCACCUUCUCCACCUAAAAACAUGUCAUUGGACUAUAAUAGAUGCUCCACCAUUUGUAACAUUUAAUAUUUUGCAAUAGCAGAAAAUGAAUCAAUUGGAAGAGAACGCUACAAUUUUAUGCAUAUAUUUAUUCUUUAUAUAAUCAUUAUAAUCAUACAUCAACUAUCCUUCUAUAGAGUGGUUACUUUUUAUAAAUUCUCUUUGUUCCUUUUUGAUAAGCUAAAUGCAAAAAAAAAAAAAAAAGGCUAAGUAAGAUGCUAUAAGAAACAAAUCAAUGAAAUUACUUUGCUAUUGUGAAUGUUAUAGGAGUUCAAGUAAUUCCUUUUUUAUUUUUUAUUUUGUAGAAAAUGUUGUUGCCAUGUGGUCUUCCACCAGAGAGAGAGAAGAGGAAUAAGGCAAUGAGGAUUUUCAUGGGGAGAUUUACUAUGAUUGCAUUAUGAAAAAAUUGUGUAGUAUCAACCUGAUGCGAGGAUAAAAAACUAUGUUGAGUUUUUGAUGUUUAUGUUACAUGUAAUAUGUUCUAUAUUAUACAAAGUCAUGUUUUAGUGAUGAACAUUAAUCUUUGUGUAUUUUAUGGGGUGGUUAUGUUGGUAAGUGUCACGUUGUAAGUGAUGAACAUUAAUCUUUGUGUAUUUUUUGUAAAUUUAGUCUAAUUGUAUAAUUUUAUAAAAAAAUAGCAAAAAAAUUGAUGAAAAGACCAAAAAAGACAUCAAAACCCAAGUGUAAAAAACAAAAAAAAAAAUUGAAGAUGUAUUAGUUUUGACAAUUUGGAUGUUUUGUGUUUUUAUGUUUGAAGUUGUAUUAUGUAUUUCCAAUAUGAAAACCAAAAAAAAAAUGAGAAAAAAGGAUGAAAAUUCUCC